AUGUGUAUUGGCUUGCAAGGUGAAUUCUUUAAUGGGAGAGAACCAAACCGUGAAGCUACCGCGGAAGAGUUGAAUAUGCUGCAAUACAAUGCUCAAGCUUGUGAUAUUCUCUUCAACGGAUUGUGCCCUGAAGAAUUCAAAAAAAUCAGCCGUCUUGAGAAUGCAAAGGAAAUUUGGGAUACUUUGAUUGAUAUGCACGAGGGUACCGACUCCGUCAAGGAAUCCAAAUUGGAUGUGCUUCAAAGUCAACUUGACAAGUUCAAAAUGAAGGAUGGUGAAGGUGUCGCUGAAAUGUACUCUAGGCUCGCUCUCAUCACAAAUGAGAUUGCUGGCUUAGGAAGUGAGGAGAUGACCGAUAUAUUCAUCAUCAAGAAGAUCCUAAGAGCCUUGAUGGAAAAUAUGAUACCGUGUGCACAUUGA
RNAcentral lists this ribosomal RNA (420 nucleotides) under Triticum aestivum (bread wheat). Its description in RNAcentral is "partial small subunit ribosomal RNA". Lineage: Eukaryota; Viridiplantae; Streptophyta; Magnoliopsida; Poales; Poaceae. The record is from RNAcentral.